Molecule: long non-coding RNA, 1033 nt
Organism: Nasonia vitripennis (jewel wasp)
Lineage: Eukaryota; Metazoa; Arthropoda; Insecta; Hymenoptera; Pteromalidae
Exons: 4
Source: RefSeq, a predicted model, not a curated record
UCGAAAGUAUACGCGAAUCUCUUGAAUUCUUGAUUGCGGCUGAUGCAACAUUUUUCAGUUAUAACACCCACCCGGAAUUCGCUUGGAAAUUUAUUGCGCAAAAAAGAGACAUUGUGCGAACCAUUGCGCUUGCUAUAAAAACAAUCGAGCUGUCGAUCCCUAUAGUUUUGGCCGAGUUUCAAAUCUAAUCCUGAUGAAUUCUCGAGAACAAUUUCUCAUCGUUUCACCCGCAGCCAAAGCAGCUUGUGUAAGUCUUCGAACAAAUCGAUGAAACAACGUUCCUUACAUCUCUCUUCAGUCUUCCUUCCCCUUACAAGUGCAAACCCACACAGGGGAACCAAUCAAACGAACCUGCGAAAACAGGGAAAAAAAACGAAGUCUUCGCUGCACGAGGUCGAAGCCUCAUCAAUGAGGCUAUACAGUCCCUCGAAAAACACACGACGCAGAUUGCAUCGACGAAAGCCGCCAAGUCAUCGUUGCGCGCGACAUCGUAUACGACUGGCGAUCAAUCAGCAGAGCGGCGACAGAACAGCUCUUCCUAAAGCAAUGACUGAAGGAACAAGAUAAUUACUUCAAAAGGGAAAGGAAGGAAGGUCGGAGUAAUUGAGUCGUUGUCGUGACGGUGGCAACGUCGGUGGCGCGACCAAAACUAAAGUUAGGCGUUUUUUGGGACGAUCGCACGAUUGGCACAAGUCGCUGCCGCGCGAUGCGUUCGCGCACGUGAGCCUCGAGCAGAGCAACUAUCUUGAUCAGUGAUUGACGUAUUGUAACAGUGGGCUAGCGAGUUUUAUCGCCUGGCAUGAAAGUGUCAAAUCAAUUAGAGAAGACACGUAGCUCUGCCGCCUAAAUGAAUUAGAACAUAUCCCAUAAACAUCACGAUCGUAACUGCAGAAUAAAAAUCAUCUGCUCUUAUUAUGUUGCUGCAAGAAAAAAACAUGAAAUGUGGAAUGCUUUGCAAACUCUGCACGAUAAAUGUGCGUUCAUCGAUAUUUCUGUACAAAGAAAGAUAAAUGCGAAUUCGUUACAAAAAGUU